This 67-nucleotide transfer RNA is filed under the name Gastroptychus investigatoris. RNAcentral's name for it is "tRNA-Gln". The record is from RNAcentral. Lineage: Eukaryota; Metazoa; Arthropoda; Malacostraca; Decapoda; Chirostylidae.
UAUACAUUGGUGUUUAAGCAUAAAAAGUUUUGAUCUUUUAGGAUAUAGUUAAUUCUAUUAUGUGUAA